CAGCAGCCGCGGUAAUACGUAGGGUGCAAGCGUUGUUCGGAAUUAUUGGGCGUAAAGCGCGUGUAGGCGGGAAGGCAGGUCAGGUGUGAAAUCCCUUGGCCCAACCAAGGAACUGCAUCUGAAACCAUUUUCCUCGAGUACGAUAGGGGAGGGCGGAAUUCCCAGUGUAGAGGUGAAAUUCAUAGAUAUUGGGAGGAACACCAGUGGCGAAGGCGACCCUCUGGAUCGAUACUGACGCUGAGACGCGAAAGCGUGGGUAGCAAACAGGAUUAGAUACCCUGGUAGUCCACGCUGUAAACGAUGUGCACUAGGUGUUGGAGGUACUUAAUCCUCCAGUGCCGCAGCUAACGCAUUAAGUGCACCGCCUGGGGAAUACGGCCGCAAGGUUAAAACUCAAAGGAAUUGACGG
RNAcentral lists this ribosomal RNA (409 nucleotides) under uncultured bacterium. RNAcentral's name for it is "bacterial SSU rRNA". It matches the Rfam family "Bacterial small subunit ribosomal RNA", at positions 509 to 916 of the family's 1533-position model. The record is from RNAcentral.